UACGGAGGGUGCAAGCGUUAUCCGGAUUCACUGGGUUUAAAGGGUGCGUAGGCGGGUAAGUAAGUCCGUGGUGAAAUCUCUGAGCUUAACUCAGAAACUGCCGUGGAUACUAUUUGCCUUGAAUACUGUGGAGGUGAGCGGAAUAUGUCAUGUAGCGGUGAAAUGCUUAGAUAUGACAUAGAACACCAAUUGCGAAGGCAGCUCACUACACAAUCAUUGACGCUGAGGCACGAAAGCGUGGGGAUCAAACAGG
This 253-nucleotide ribosomal RNA is filed under the name uncultured bacterium. RNAcentral's name for it is "partial 16S ribosomal RNA". It matches the Rfam family "Bacterial small subunit ribosomal RNA", at positions 524 to 776 of the family's 1533-position model. The record is from RNAcentral.